Molecule: long non-coding RNA, 614 nt
Organism: Misgurnus anguillicaudatus (oriental weatherfish)
Lineage: Eukaryota; Metazoa; Chordata; Actinopteri; Cypriniformes; Cobitidae
Source: RefSeq, a predicted model, not a curated record
UAUUACUUAAAGCGUCAAUUUUAGUUAUUAGAUUAUUUUAUUGUCGUUGUUAUAAUUAUCUAAAAAAAUAAAAAUAAACUUUUAUCAUGAUCACUAUCAAAGAGUUAAUGGUGCUGAAAUAGCAUCAUGAUGUGCAUGACUUCAAAUCCCAGAGUUCUCUCGUUCACAGUCACGCGCGUGAACUCUGAAACAUGACCUGUGCAACCUGAGGCAACGAGGCAAAGGACUAAAAAUAAGUUUAUCGAGAUGAGAGGAGCAUUCAAACAGGGACCUGGAUGAAGAGGUGCUCUGGAAAGGACAACUGGAGAGACGCUGCUGGACGUCACCAGUGAGGACUCCAUCAGAGAUGUGUGAAUAGCUUGUCAGAUCGACGGUGCCAUUCAACAAACAUUGGUUAAUAUAACAGGCUGUAUCUGAUGGGCAAAAAAGUAAGAAAAAAAAUCUACACGUGAUUGAAAUGUGACAAACUUGAGAGAGAUGGUGCCCAUUGCAUCUGCAACCCCUUCACAUAACACAUAUACGUUUAAACCUUAAAACCUUAAUGCAGCGUUGAAGUAUGACCAUAUUUAUCAACUAAAUAUGCACGGUAAAAAAGUGAAAGGUGCUGUACUUAA